This 499-nucleotide ribosomal RNA is filed under the name uncultured Glomeromycotina. RNAcentral's name for it is "partial small subunit ribosomal RNA". It matches the Rfam family "Eukaryotic small subunit ribosomal RNA", at positions 591 to 1092 of the family's 1831-position model. Lineage: Eukaryota; Fungi; Glomeromycota. The record is from RNAcentral.
CCAAUAGCGUAUAUUAAAGUUGUUGCAGUUAAAAAGCUCGUAGUUGAAUUUCGAGAUCAAUUUGUCGGUCGUGCCUCGGUACGUACUGGCAUUAUUGAUUUCUCCCUUCUGACGAACCGCGAUGUCAUUAAUUUGGUGUCGUGGGGAAUCAGGACUGUUACUUUGAAAAAAUUAGAGUGUUUAAAGCAGGCGCACGCUUGAAUACAUUAGCAUGGAAUAAUGAAAUAGGACGGUUGAUUCUAUUUUGUUGGUUUCUAGGAUCGACGUAAUGAUUAAUAGGGAUAGUUGGGGGCAUUAGUAUUCAAUUGUCAGAGGUGAAAUUCUUGGAUUUAUUGAAGACUAACUACUGCGAAAGCAUUUGCCAAGGAUGUUUUCAUUAAUCAAGAACGAAAGUUAGGGGAUCGAAGACGAUCAGAUACCGUCGUAGUCUUAACCAUAAACUAUGCCGACUAGGGAUCGGAUGAUGUUAAUUUUUUAAUGACUCAUUCGGCGCCUUACG